GUGCGUUCACAUGAAUUAACAUUAUCUCAACGCUUUUUAUGUUCAGAUCACAGACACUGAACCAUAUACGACGGUUGUGUUCAGACUGAAGGUGACACGAAAGGCCGACUGUGAACGUUAUUGUGUUCAGAUAAAACUGUUUUGUGGACUUUUCAAGAGGUACCAGGCGUUUAAGAAAGAAGAAUUUGAACGUUUCUACAAAUUUAUUUAGGGAUUUGAAUCUUGGAGAAAUUUUACGAAUAAAUGAUCCAGCAUGAACAAUCUACAUGACAUGCACCAACAUAGCGGUGACGUCAAACCUGGUAUGAUGAUGAGCCCAUCAACGGUGUUGAGUCACAGAACGUUUUCUUACAUGUUGACCAACACGUGGCUGACGUCAGAUAUCACAGGUAUUGGCACUGCCUUGGUGUUUUCCUUCAGCUUGGCAUUAUUUCUAGAAUGUAUUAAGUUUUACCUGCAUCUCUCAGAUUAUUACAAAUCAGACAGACAUAUAGAUAAUAGAUCAGAUGUAAGAGGAAGAAUAAGGAAAUUAAUGGAUCAUUUUAUCCGCGGUUGUUGGCACGGAGGACAAGUUUUACUCGCUAAUGUCAUCAUGCUGUGUGUUAUGACCUACAAUAUCUGGAUUUUAGCUUGUGUGUGUCUUGGAACUGGCGUAGGUUUUUUUCUAGCGAGGCCUAUUAUAUACGACAUUUAUUACACCCGUGUAUCAAGCUGUCGCGGGGGUGAAGACGUUAGUUCUGUUCGCUUGACAUCUUGUCAACAGAAAGAAUAUUGGUCUGAUGAGCGUCAAAUUAAUAAAGGAGAUGCAGGUCCCGUUACAGGAUUGGGAGAUCAAAAUCAAGAGACUGCAGUGUAAAUAAAAUAUACUAUAAACAGUGGCAGACUGAAGCUUAGGGCCUCACGAUUUAAAGAGCAGGGGGCGGCUUUGGACAAGGUGUAUAUUAUUUGUUACACGUCAUAAGCCUACGUACUUAUUAUAGUCUUAUGUUGUGUAUGAAUAAUAAGACGCAAACAAUCGCAACAAACUGUAUAUAUAACAGUGUCUACUCACUGGUCCGUGUUCGGGAAGUACAAGUGAUAUCUUAUUGAGUUCUGCUUGAGGAACGAUAGAAAUCGUAGGGUCACAAGGUCUAGGCAUUUCCGUGUAGAUGGUGUAAUGGAGGUGGCAUCAAAUUCAAGGCGGCAUCAUAUUAAUUUUAUAAAUUAAACAUCCCCCACCCUCAUAUUUUUGAGUAUUGUGCUCUCUACUGGAGUCUUUGGGGGUGGGGGCAUGCCUUCGAGAGGUUGACCACAUGAUUGUAGAUUGCUAUUAACGUUAUUAGGGUAGUUUUAGACCAUGAGAACAGAUGUGGUGGGAUAUUUUUCUAAGAAAUAUCUUCUUGGUGAAUAGAGAGAUGGAUCCGACCAUGGACAAAUUCAUUUAUGUGAACCCUUAUCUGGCAUAAAAAUUCCAUAUCGUUUUUUUAAUUUUACUAACUUUUGUCUGAGAAUAAUUAAUCAAUCAUUGGUAAUAUUAUGAAAGAGCACCAGUAAAAUACUCAAGACAAAGAGGGUAAAUUGUUUUGUGAAGAUAGGAAUAUGUUUUUAUAAAAUGGCAGGACAUAAAUCUUUCGAAUGCUUAGCAUGUACAUACAGAAAGUCUGUCUUGGCGGUGUCAGUGAUUACCCCUUUUGUUCUUGUAACACAUUUACUGUGUGUUCUCGCUCUAACAAUUUCUUAAUUUAGUAUCUGUGUGCGAGAGGGGGGAUAUUGUACUAACAUAUCGUUUAAUUUUAUCUCAAUAAUUCGCUAGGGUUCUUUAGCAGUGGGAGGAAACCGGAGAAAACUUAUAUGUUUGGACAGGCUCUCCGAUUCCUGGCCACGUACAAGCGGAAAUCGACACCAUGCCAUUUGACUCAACGACCAACCCCCUAUUAGUGUUUGUAAUUACAUCUUUAAUAAACGAGAGGGAGGGGUGGAUGGCCUAAUGGUUAGUACGUGCACGUUGUAUCAUAAGGUCUGUCAUUGAGUCAACUGGCGUGGUUUCGAUUCCCCGGGUGUACGUGACAAGGAGAAGGUCGCCUGUCCAACCUCGUGGGUUUUCUUUGAGUCCUCUGGUUUCCUCCCACUGCUAAGGACUCCUACGCGCAAGCGAAUUAUUGAAAUGAAAUUGGACCAUAUGUUAGUCCCGAAAUGACCUAGUUUUGUCAAGUGGACGGUAAUCCCCCUCUCUCUCUCUCAAAACCAGGCGGAGUAAUACAAUAAUACAAUUUAUUGGACCUUACAUUUGUAAUAAACAACUGCAACCGGGAUUAAAGUUACCGUCCCACCCCGAGCAAUGGGCUAUGGGUGCACGGUGCAGGCGAUUGAAACCACAAACCCCAAAUCAAAUCCACCUAAAGUAACGUUGUUGGGUCCAUGGCCGGGAUACAUGCUUAUGUAUAAUGGGAGAUAACUCCAUUAAGACACCUUUUAUCGGAAACAAAUUAUUUAUUUACUAAAAUGACUGUACAUAUUUAGUUACAUCAAUCUGUGAGUGUUGACAUAUAGCCGUUUGGAACAAAUCGAAUUUAUUAUGAAACAUGGACAUGUGAGUUAUAAACGUCUAAUAGAAAACCGGGACAACAAAGUUGUUUGUAUUUACAUUGAAAACUGGAAAAUUUAAAAAUGAAUGUACAAACUAUUUGUUGUUUUUUUACUACGUAUAAUAACAAACAUUUAUUAUAUGGCAAUUAUAAAAUUAAACCUUUCAUUGCUGACUCAAAUUCUUAGUUCUACUCAGAUUGCGGGUGGCUGUAAAAUGCCGACUACCAUUAUUGACUGAAAUUACUCAGAUUAAUGGUGGCUGUAAAAUGCCGACUACCUUAAACAUGCGUGAAGAUC
Patella vulgata (common limpet) is the source of this 2862-nucleotide long non-coding RNA. RefSeq lists it as uncharacterized. NCBI's taxonomy places the organism in Eukaryota, Metazoa, Mollusca, Gastropoda, Patellidae. The record is from RefSeq and is a predicted model, not a curated record. The transcript has 5 exons.